Molecule: microRNA precursor, 93 nt
Filed under: Pelobates cultripes (western spadefoot toad)
Lineage: Eukaryota; Metazoa; Chordata; Amphibia; Anura; Pelobatidae
Source: RNAcentral
CUCCAGAUGUUGCUGAACUACAACUCCCAUGAUUCUUAUCCUAUUUAUUUCAUUUAUAGAAUCAUGGGAGUUGUAGUUCAGCAACAUCUGGAG